GUGAGGAAUUUUCCGCAAUGGGCGAAAGCCUGACGGAGCAAUGCCGCGUGAAGGAUGAAGGCCUAUGGGUUGUAAACUUCUUUUCUUAGAGAAGAAUAUUGACGGUAUCUGAGGAAUAAGCACCGGCUAACUCCGUGCCAGCAGCCGCGGUAAUACGGAGGGUGCAAGCGUUAUCCGGAUUCACUGGGUUUAAAGGGUGCGUAGGCGGAUAAAUAAGUCAGUGGUGAAAUCAACGGGCUCAACCUGUUAACUGCCAUUGAUACUGUGUAUCUUGAAUAUGAGAGAGGUAGGCGGAAUGUUGCAUGUAGCGGUGAAAUGCUUAGAUAUGCUACGGAACACCGAUUGCGAAGGCAGCUUACUAUUUCGUAAUUGACGCUGAGGCACGAAAGCGUGGGUAGCGAACAGGAUUAGAAACCCUUGUAGUCC
This 426-nucleotide ribosomal RNA is filed under the name uncultured bacterium. Its description in RNAcentral is "partial 16S ribosomal RNA". It matches the Rfam family "Bacterial small subunit ribosomal RNA", at positions 354 to 796 of the family's 1533-position model. The record is from RNAcentral.